RNAcentral lists this ribosomal RNA (434 nucleotides) under uncultured bacterium. Its description in RNAcentral is "partial 16S ribosomal RNA". It matches the Rfam family "Bacterial small subunit ribosomal RNA", at positions 29 to 507 of the family's 1533-position model. The record is from RNAcentral.
AGCGAACGCUGGCGGCAGGCCUAACACAUGCAAGUCGAACGAACCUUUCGGGGUUAGUGGCGGACGGGUGAGUAACACGUGGGAACGUGCCUUUAGGUUCGGAAUAACUCAGGGAAACUUGUGCUCAUACCGAAUGUGCCCUUCGGGGGAAAGAUUAAUCGCCUUUAGAGCGGCCCGCGUCUGAUUCGCUAGUUGGUUGAGGUAAUGGCUCACCAAGGCGACGAUCAGUAGCUGGUCUGAGAGGAUGAUCAGCCACAUUGGGACUGAGACACGGCCCACACUCCUACGCGAGGCAGCAGUAGAGAAUCUUGCGCAAGGGGCGAAAGCCUGACGCAGCCAUGCCGCGUGAAUGAUGAAGGUCUUAGGAUUGUAAAAUUCUUUCACCGGGGACGAUAAUGACGGUACCCGGUGAAGAAGCCCCGGCUAACUUCGUG